Molecule: ribosomal RNA, 410 nt
Filed under: Mycalesis mineus (dark-brand bushbrown)
Lineage: Eukaryota; Metazoa; Arthropoda; Insecta; Lepidoptera; Nymphalidae
Description: partial 16S ribosomal RNA
Source: RNAcentral
AGUUUUUUAAUUGAAAACUUGUAUGAAAGAUUUGAUGAAAUAUUAACUGUCUCUUAAUUAUUAAUAAAACUUUAUUUUUUAGUUAAAAAGCUAAAAUAAAUUUAAAAGACGAGAAGACCCUAUAGAGUUUUAUAUUUGAGUUUUAUUUUAAAUAUAUAUAUAAAUUAAUAUUAAUAAAAUUAAAUAUUAUAUUGGGGUGAUAGAAAAAUUUAAUUAACUUUUUUUAAAUAAUAAACAUAAAUAAGUGAAUAAAUGAUCCAUUUAUAAUGAUUACAAGAAAAAAUUACCUUAGGGAUAACAGCGUAAUAUUUUUUUUUAGUACAUAUAAAAAAAAAAGAUUGCGACCUCNAUGUUGGAUUAAGAUAAAAUUUAAAUGCAAAAGUUUAAAAUUUUGAUCUGUUCGAUCAUUA